Long non-coding RNA from Homo sapiens (human), 1603 nucleotides. Ensembl annotates it as long intergenic non-protein coding RNA 621. NCBI's taxonomy places the organism in Eukaryota, Metazoa, Chordata, Mammalia, Primates, Hominidae. The record is from Ensembl.
ACAGUCGCCAGAUCCAGUUCCAAGUGCCGAACCGAACGCGGAGCCAGGAGAUGCAGUCUCACUCUGUGGCCCAGGCUGGAGUGCAGUGGCGUGAUCUUGGCUCACUGCAACCUCCAUCUCCUGAGUUCAAGCAAUUCUCCUGUCUCAGCCUCCUAAAUAGUUGGAAUUACAGGCAAGCACCACCACGCUCAGCUACAGGAAUUUAGCCAAUUCAGAGGAAAUCUUCCCCAUAAUUAUGGAACUUUCUUACAGAUUUUACCAAGUCUGGUCAACCCAAUAAGAAAAAGACUGAAAUAACAACAACAACUUCAACAAAUAAAAAAAAACAGUUAAGCUAAAUAAACAGAUGAUUGCAGAAUUUAUGUGAUUACUGGGUACUCUAAUGGUAAGGAGAAAUUAAGACCAGCUAGUUGUUAAUCUUAACUUUUAGUCAUUAAGGAGAAUUUCCAAGACAAAACUGCAAUCCAGCUGCUUACCUAGGAAUACGGCUUAGGCUGAAAACUUCUAUCGUCUUAGAAAUGGGAAUAAACCUCACACUCACCGUCCCUGUUGGAAGCAAGCUGAAACUCCAAAAAAAAAGUUGCCUGUUGUCCAUCAUCAUGGUGAAGCGGCGUCGUUGUCUGGGUUCUGAAGGCUGGGAAGUCCAAGAUUAAGGCGUCAACAGGUCUUGUGUCUGCUGAGGGCUGUCUCCCUGAUUUGCAGAUGUCUGCUUUCUUGCUGUGUCCUCACAUGGGAAAAAGAGAGAGAAUUUGCUGGUAUUCCUUUUUAUAAGGACACUAACCCCAUUCAUGAGGGUCCCACCCUCAUGACCUCGCCUAAACCUAUAACCUCCAAGGACUCCAUUUCCAAAUACCAGCAACCACAUGUGUGAGCUUAGAAGAGGAUCCUUCCCCAGGUGAGCCUUGAGAUGACCCUGGCCUGUGACUUGAUGGCAGCUUUUGAGAGACUGAGCCAGAGGCCUCCAGUCUCCCUCUCCCUCUCUUUCCACGGUCUCCCUCUGAUGCCGAGCCGAAGCUGGACUGUACUGCUGCCAUCUCCGCUCACUGCAACCUCCCUGCCUGAUUCUCCUGCCUCAGCCUGCCAAGUGCCUGCGAAAAUUGCAGGCGUGCGCCGCCACGCCUGACUGGUUUUCGUAUUUUUUUGGUGGAGACGGGGUUUGGCUGUGUUGGCCGGGCUGGUCUCCAGCUCCUAACCGCAAGUGAUCCGCCAGCCUCGGCCUCCCGAGGUGCCGGGAUUGCAGACCGAGUCUCGUUCACUCAGUGCUCAAUGGUGCCCAGGCUGGAGUGCAGUGGCGUGAUCUGGGCUCGCUACAACCACCUCCCAGCUGCCUGCCUUGGCCUCCCAAAGAGCCGAGAUUGCAGCCUCUGCCAGGCCGCCACCCUGUCUGGGAAGUGAGGAGCGUCUCUGCCUGGCCACCCAUCGUCUGGGAUGUGAGGAGCCCCUCUGCCUGGCUGCCCAGUCUGGAAAGUGAGGAGCAUCUCUUCCCGGCCGCCAUCCCAUCUAGGAAGUGAGGAGCGUCUCUGCCCGGCCGCCCAUCGUCUGAGAUGUGGGGAGCGCCUCUGCCCUGCCGCCCCGUCUGGGAUGUGAGGGGUGCCUCUGCCCG